Molecule: ribosomal RNA, 129 nt
Filed under: Octodon degus (degu)
Lineage: Eukaryota; Metazoa; Chordata; Mammalia; Rodentia; Octodontidae
Source: RNAcentral
GUCUAUGACCAUACCACCCUGAAAGCACCAGAUCUCAUCUGAUCUCGGAAGCUAAGCAGAGUUGGGCCUGGUUAGUACAUGGAUGGGAGACCAAACUUAUCAGUCCUUGAUCUCUGGUAGUCUAUGGCU